This 257-nucleotide ribosomal RNA is filed under the name uncultured archaeon. Its description in RNAcentral is "partial 16S ribosomal RNA". It matches the Rfam family "Archaeal small subunit ribosomal RNA", at positions 748 to 1004 of the family's 1478-position model. The record is from RNAcentral.
AGGGUGUAAACGCUGCAGACUUGGUGUUGGAGGCCCUUUGGGGGCAUUCAGUGCCGGAGAGAAGUUGUUAAGUCUGCUACUUGAGGAGUACGUCCGCAAGGAUCGAAACUUAAAGGAAUUGGCGGGGGAGCACCGCAACGGGAGGAGCGUGCGGUUUAAUUGGAUUCAACACCGUAAACUCACCAGGGAAGACUGUUACAUGAAGGCCGAGAUGAAGACUCUGCUAGAUUUUCAGAGAGGAGGUGCAUGGCGUCAGU